UGGGGAAUUUUGGACAAUGGGCGAAAGCCUGAUCCAGCAAUGCCGCGUGUGUGAAGAAGGCCUUCGGGUUGUAAAGCACUUUUGUCCGGAAAGAAAUCCUUGGCUCUAAUACAGUCGGGGGAUGACGGUACCGGAAGAAUAAGCACCGGCUAACUACGUGCCAGCAGCCGCGGUAAUACGUAGGGUGCAAGCGUUAAUCGGAAUUACUGGGCGUAAAGCGUGCGCAGGCGGUUUGCUAAGGCCGAUGUGAAAUCCCCGGGCUCAACCUGGGAACUGCAUUGGUGACUGGCAGGCUAGAGUAUGGCAGAGGGGGGUAGAAUUCCACGUGUAGCAGUGAAAUGCGUAGAGAUGUGGAGGAAUACCGAUGGCGAAGGCAGCCCCCUGGGCCAAUACUGACGCUCAUGCACGAAAGCGUGGGGAGCAAACAGGAUUAGAUACCCUGGUAGUCCACGCCCUAAAACGAUGUCAACUAGUUGUUGGGGAUUCAUUUCCUUAGUAACGUAGCUAACGCGUGAAGUUGACCGCCUGGGGAGUACGGUCGCAAGAUUAAAACUCAAAUGAAUUGACGGGGUCAUAGCUGUUUCCU
This 586-nucleotide ribosomal RNA is filed under the name uncultured bacterium. RNAcentral's name for it is "partial 16S ribosomal RNA". It matches the Rfam family "Bacterial small subunit ribosomal RNA", at positions 355 to 1375 of the family's 1533-position model. The record is from RNAcentral.